RNAcentral lists this unclassified non-coding RNA (369 nucleotides) under Hevea brasiliensis (rubber tree). The record is from RNAcentral. Lineage: Eukaryota; Viridiplantae; Streptophyta; Magnoliopsida; Malpighiales; Euphorbiaceae.
CUGCGACCUCUUUAUGAAUCAUCAAAAGUUGUGGCCCAGAAAACGACAAUUGCGGCCCUGCGUUAUAUCAGGCAGAUAGCUCAAGAGACCAGUGGUGAGGUGGUAUAUGGUUUAGGCCGGCAACCAGCUGUUUUGAGAACUUUUAGCCAAAGAUUAAGCAGAGGAUUCAAUGAUGCAAUCAAUGGUUUUAAUGAUGAUGGCUGGUCACUGACGAGUUGUGAUGGAGCUGAAGAUGUUAUCAUUGCUGUUAAUUCAACCAAGAACUUGAGCAGCACUUCCAAUCCUGCUAAUGCCCUUUCAUUCCUUGGAGGGAUUCUAUGUGCAAAGGCUUCCAUGCUAUUGCAAAAUGUCCCUCCUGCAGUCCUGGUU